AACGGAUGCGUACAGCACACGGCGUGCUGUCCGCAUCUUUUGCGGCCCCAUUGAAGUGAAUGGGUCCGCAUCCGAGCCGCAAAAACGGCGGACCCAAACAGCAGCAGUGUGCAUGAGACCUAAAAUGGAGAAAUUUCCAGGAGGAAUUCAUUUCGUCUCUGCCUCCUUUUUACUCCUCGGGCGAUUUGAAUACCAGAUUUGGGAAGGGGAGGAACCAAACAAGGCUUAGUCCCACCCCCUCUGCAGAGCCACGCCCACUUAUCACACUAUCUCUGCUCAGAGUUUUUCUUCCAGAUUUCUACGAGGCUGGUUCACUUUGGCACAUGCAGAAGCAUAUAUUUUUUUUUUAUUUUUUUUUGCAGACAGUAAAAUUUAUCUAUUAUACUUUUCUAGGUGUAAAGUCCCUUUAAUGUCAUAUGUCCUCAUGAAGGUAUUUAUAGGUUAACCCCUUCACGAGCGGACAGUUUUGGACCUUAUUCGAGUCAUUUCAUUUACAAAUCUUAUUUUGAAACUCAUUAGGGAAUUAUUAGCUAAAGGGGAGAGGUAAUAAAUGAUUUUAGUAGGAGAACCCCUUAAUAAGGAAGAACCGUCUUCAGGGUGGAGAGAGACUACAUUCAAAGUGAUUUUUUUUUAUAUGUAUAAAGUGCAAGUUUUUGGGCGAGUUUGUGUGAGUUUUAUGUCUUAGUCGUUGCUUUUUUUCCUUUUUUCCUAACGUAUAUGUAAAAUAUAAUAUAUACAUACGAGUCUUCAAAGAUAUCAUUAAAUACUUAAAACCAUUUAAAGGGAUCAGACUCGCCACCAUUGCAAUGCAGAGGUCAAAUCGGCAGUCACGUGACCAGUCACCUGCUUGUAGGGUCCAAUACCGGUCUGGUCUAUACACAGCGCUAUUAUAGGGGGUUGUGCAGGAUUAGAGGGAAAAAACUAAAAACAUGGCCGUUUUCUUCCAAAAUCAGUGCCAUACCUGGUUUAGGGGUUGUGUCUGGUACUGAAGCUUAGCUCCACUGAAGUAAAUGGGGCAGAGCUGCAAUACUAUAAACAACCUGUCAAAUGUUGGGGCACUGUUUUUGGAAGAAAGCAGAAAGUUUUUUUAGUUUUUUUCUUCUAUUUUGGACAACCCCUUUAAGAUUAACUUAAAGGGACAUUCAAACUAAAAAUCACACAGAGUAAAAUAAAACCACAGGGUAAACCUCUGUCUACCUGUCAGUCAGGACUGGCUUCUAAAAGCUCCGGGCACAUACGGUCGUAGAGAAAUCUGGCAGAGAAAGACGGGCCCGUUACUGAACUGGAUUCUCCAAGUUUCAGACAGUGUUGGAAAUGGGUGGAGCUUAUUUAAAGGGACAGGGCAUAUUUUGUUUGAUGUCAGUGGCAGGCAGAGCAGCAGAGGGAGAUUUCAACCAUCUUCCAGCCUAAGGCCUCAUGCACACGAACGUAUUUCCAUUUUUGCAGACCGUAUAUGGAACCAUUCAUUUCAAUGGGUAAAAUAUAUGCAUCCAGGAAGGAGGAGGAAUUAGGACGAAAUCAUGGCAAAUGUCUGAGGCCUAUAGUCCCACGUAUCGUACCUGGCAGGCUUGAGUAAAUGCUACAUUUCUAAUGAUUUCAAGGGUCUUACAGGAUCGCCACGUGACUGGGUGACGUGGCGUGUCCACAUGAUCAUGUGACCUCGCAGACCCUGCGCUCUGAAUGCCAUAUGCUCCUACAUGACAGAUGCACACAGGAGCGCGGGGUGAUCAUCAGAUCUUCCUCUCUGCUGGAUUUCGUUUAAAGUUUCUUUCCGUGAAAAAAAUAAAGAAAAGAAAAGAAAAAUGUCAAUCCUGCCAAGCCCCUUUAAUUAAAGUGCAGUACUAACUGGUGGCCUGAUCCCUGGAUAAAGGUAUAAUUCAACAAGAUAUCACUUUGAAGCGAUGCAAUUUAAGGCAACGGAUUAAAAAAAAAUUAAGAUAAAAAAAUAA
Molecule: long non-coding RNA, 1949 nt
Organism: Bufo gargarizans (Asiatic toad)
Lineage: Eukaryota; Metazoa; Chordata; Amphibia; Anura; Bufonidae
Exons: 2
Source: RefSeq, a predicted model, not a curated record